Molecule: ribosomal RNA, 203 nt
Filed under: uncultured bacterium
Lineage: Bacteria
Description: partial 16S ribosomal RNA
Rfam family: Bacterial small subunit ribosomal RNA
Source: RNAcentral
CACACGGGGACUGAGACACGGCCCCGACUCCUACGGGAGGCAGCAGCAAGGAAUUUUCCACAAUGGGCGCAAGCCUGAUGGAGCAACGCCGCGUGGGGGAAGACGCUUUUCGGAGUGUAAACCCCUUUUCGGGAGGACGAAGCAAAUGACGGUACUCCCGGAAUAAGGACCGGCUAACUACGUGCCAGCAGCCGCCGUAACAC